This 7363-nucleotide long non-coding RNA is filed under the name Medicago truncatula (barrel medic). RNAcentral describes it as "long non-coding RNA (MTRU_LNC003958)". The record is from RNAcentral. Lineage: Eukaryota; Viridiplantae; Streptophyta; Magnoliopsida; Fabales; Fabaceae.
CCUAAUUCAUCCGUCCUAAGAAGAGGCAGCAUGUCCUAUGAAGGAGAAGAGUGGAGAGUCAAUUCAACAUCGCUCGAUGCUCCAAAUUUAGCCAUAAAGUCUGCACACUCAUUCAUCCAUUGAAAAGACUUCCGCUUUAGAUUGUGUGUUUUCUUUAAACUGACAUUAAAAAAAAGGUAAUCAAACUUUUUCUUAAAAAAAGUUAUUAUAUGGUGAUUUGAUUUGAUUUGUACUAAGAAAAAAAUUAAUCACAUUUUUUAAUAGUGUCGUUUUAAUCUACGAUGAUUUGAUAUGUAUUUGACUAUAGGUUAGGAAUAAAUAAAUGAGAUAAGAACAAAAACUAUAGUUUUUUCAACCGUCCAGUAAUAAAUAAUACCGCGUACACGUACACACGGACAUUACCCGCACAUGGUCACAUCCGUAAUCUUAGCCAAAAACGUAUAAUCUAUUAAAUCACAUUAAUUCCCCUAACUUUCAUUUAUCUCUAUAAAUUCAAUCCCUUCCCUAGUGAAACCAAAACCAAAACCAAAACCAAACAUUUUGAAAACAAAGUCACAAACAAAAAAUGGCAGGAAUCAUCAACAAGAUUGGAGAGGCUCUUCAUGUAGGAGGAGGACACAAGAAAGAAGAUGAACACAAAGGAGAAAAGAGCCAUGAUGACAAGCACAAAGGUGAGAAGAGUCAUGAUGAUAAGCACAAAGGUGAACACAAAGAAGGUAUAGUUGAUAAGAUCAAGGACAAGAUCCAUGGUGGUGAUGGUGAAGGUCAUGAACACAAAGGUGAGAAGAAAGAUAAGAAAAAGAAGGAUAAGAAGAAGAAGGAACAUGGUCAUGAUCAUGAUAGUAGCAGCAGCAGUGACAGUGAUUAGAUCUUCUUCUAAUGUUGUUUCUCUCUUUCUAUGUUAAUUAAGGUAAUCUUGUUUUUUAUUUUACUUUUUUUUGUUAGUAUUAUCAAAUUUUAUUGUUUUGAUCCAUUACAUUGAUAUAUUAUUCCACUUUCUUCAAAAAAUUAGCAUGUAAUCUUACACUUUAUUGUAUCUUAUUUUUUUUAUUUUUUAUAUAAAAUAUCAAAUAUGUUGGCUUUUUGCUUUGGAUCUAAUUUAGUCUUUAGAAUAGAUCCACCUUUCACUACUUUUAUUAUUUAUUGAGGUCAAAAAAACACUUUUUAGAUGAAAAAGAUAUAUUUUUUUGGUGAAAAAGAUCUUUUAUUAUUAAUUAUGUAAAAAUAAAUUAAAUUUAUGACUUGACUUAAAUAUAAUAAAAUAAAAAAGGAAAUGUAUAUGGUCUACAUUUGGAGCAAAUACAUGCCCCCACACGUUUGAAUGGAAACCAUUUAAUGCCAUCAUCAAUGUGUGAGCAACCUGAUUUUUUUUUUCUACAAUAUGCUCCACACAUUUUUCCUAUGAUAUUUUUAAAUUUUUUUGACUAAUAUUUGCAAUUUCCAUGUUUGCAGCGGUGUACAAUACCUUAUGGUUGGGGAGUUUCUAAAGCUCUUUUUACUUAUGAUGCAUUGAUGCACUAAAAUAAUACUUGUGAGAGAGGGAGAAACUAUGUGUAUUUAUUUAUGUCUUUGUUUUAUUGUUGACUUAUUAUGUGCUAAUUGUAAAAGCUCACACCUUUGGUUUGGCUUGGAUGUAGAUUGGCAUGUAUAUAAGAAUAAAUAAAUAUGUUAGUUAUUGGAAAUAUCUUUUUUUUUUUGAAGGAUGGAAAUAUCUUUCUUAAUCUUAUCUUAUAUAAAACCUAUUUAUAUGCUACUAUUCUUAGUAUUUUAUUAAAAUAAACUAAUCAUUUAAAAAAUAACCAAUAAAUCAAUUUUGGACUAUUAUAUAAUCCAUCCGGUUACAUUUAUAAGCAAACAUGUACUUUUUAGGUUCAUUAAUACAUAAUGUAUUUGAUCUAUAUAUUGACCAAAUACAUUAAGCAUUGAAUGAAUUUGUUUGCUUAUAAACGUGACCGGAUGAAGUAUAUGUUACCAUGAUUGCAAGUUAGUAGUAGAUGACAUCAAUGGAACAACAACAUGACACAACAUAAUUUGGCCAACUUUAUCAUGUUGUUAAAUCUUAACUAAAUUUAAUCAAAUUGAUAGGAUUAGUUUCAUCAAGAUUUGGUCCCGUGAAAAGCACAUAGUUUUACGCACUAAUAAAAUUACAGCCGUUGAUAUCAAAUUUGACGGUUUAGAUUACACAUCAAUUUAACACAAUUGAAUGAUUUGAGCUGUUAAUUUAAAUUGGACGGUCCUAAUCUGUUACAUCGUCCGGCUGUAAUAGCAGAAAAUCCAAAUCCCCAUCUUGUACCUAUUCAAACCAUCUUGUACCUAUUCAAACCAUCAUUUUCAUAUUAGAAAAUCUUACUGUCCAUCUUGUACCUAUUCAAACCAUCAUUUUCGAUUCUAAUUUAAAGUCAAUAUUUGCAUUUUUUUUGACUUGUUUUUACAAUCAACAUUGCGACUUUAAGCAGACAAUCAUGAAGACUAAUGCCAAAACAAAUAAAACAUAAAUAAAAAAAAUAAAAAUGUAACGAGCUAGAAGAAAUGCGAAAAAAAUAUCAAUGUGUAUGAAGAGACAAUGUUGUGAUUCUGAAAUAGUGAUAUCAUAUCUAAUUCUACUUCUGAGCUUAUUAAUUAAGGUAACAAAUCCUACAAAAUUAAAAAAAAAUCAAUUUAUUAAACAAUCUAUUGAAAUUAGAAUGUUUUUGUAUGACAUUUCUUUCCGAAUAGACUUGCUACAAAGGAUAAUCUGCGCAAAAGGAAUGUCUUUGAGGCCACUUUUGUGUAUUGUGCGGCUUUGCGUGGUAAGGAGGAUGAAAGGGACCAUCUGUUUUUUCAAUGCGACCACUACGGGCGGCUUUGGCUCUUGAUCUCUCAUUGGUUUGGUAUCGUCACGGUUUUACAUGGUAAUUUACACCCACAUGCUAACCAAUUUUGUCCUCUUGGAGGUUUCUCAAAGAACUCUAGGACGGGCUUUACUGCUAUAUGGAUUUCGACAUUAUUUGUUAUUUGGAAAGAUCGUAACAGGAGAAUAUUUCAAAAUCAAAUUGAUCAUCUUGAUGCUCUUCUUGGGAGGGUUAAACUUCAAAUGUAUUGGUGGUUGAAAGCGAAUUACAUCAUGUUCGACUUUGACUACCUCCAUUGGAAGAAAAACCCCUUAGAUUGUUUACAGACUGUUUUGUAAUGUCUGUUUUUGAAUUUUGGGUUGUUUAUAACCUGUAAGUAUUGUAAUUAACACUUUCCAGCUCCCUUAGGCAUGCCUUGUGCUUUAGGGACUGCUUAUUUAUUUAAUAUAUUUCGUUUAGUUUCUUAAAAAAAAUGUUUUUGAAUAUGUUAAUACUUUUUUAAAAUCACAAAACUUCUUGAUUAAAUACCCGAAAACUUAUUAAGAUUAAGUAAGGGUUUUAAUUGAGUGACUUUUUUUAUUAGAAAAAGUCUUUUAAAUCCUAAUUGAAUACACCCAUAAACCCCUAAAGCAUAUCACUUACUAUUUCAUCAAAAUACUCUUAGAGUGCGUUUGUUUCAAGUUAUCUUUGUAGACUCUUGAGAAUAAAAUGAUCGAAUUAUACAUGCCUAUUUUUGUUAUAAGUUUACUAAAUUUUAUUUCAGGAUAUAAAAUGUUCAUGAGAAUAGAAAAUAAAUUUAAAGAAAAAUGUUAGAAUAAAGUUCCCAUGAAAACGAGAAUAAAUUCUGAAGUAGAUAUAGAAGUCACAAGAAAGGGAGUUUGAAUUAUGACCCUUUUUAAAUUUUAAUCUUGUACUUAAAAAAUACUUCUCAAGUUGAAACUUGGAAGAGCAAAGUUAAAACAUACUUCAUAAUGUUCUGAAGUAUUAGUGUAAAACAAAAUAUCCAAGAUAAAUAAUUUUGUGAGUUCAUCCAACGUGGGCUAGUCCACUCCUCACAAUGUGAGAGUUUUCCACUACGAUGCUUGAGACAACAUUCUCAACUCCUGCACCUUACAACUUUGUUCCCUUGGAACAAUUACAACCUGUAUUCUCUAAGCCUCAGCAUACUCACAACUUUCUUUGCUAAGUCACAAAAGACUUUACACUUUUCUAUUCAACUAACACUUUAAUACCCUUAAAGCUAGAUGAGAUUUUCUCUUGCAAAUGAUUUGGAACUUUGACUGAAUUUGGGCAAGAAGAAGAAGAGGAGAAUAUUAUCUUUAUGACGAUAAGAGAAGACUGUUGCACAUUCUUUAAGAUUUUAGGAAUCUUUAGAGUUGAUUUGCUGCUAUGAAGCUUUAAACACUUUUAAUAAGUUGUUUAAGUAUGCUUGUAAGUUGCGUGCUUCAAUGCUGAGUCUUCUGCCCCUUUUAUAGUUUAUUGACCUCAUGUAGUUAUUAGGAUGUGUCCAAUAGUCUUGUGCCACUUGUAUUGGUACUUAGCAACAUUUGCUUAAAAAACUUGAUCAACAUUCAUAACUUUAGAAUGUUCAAGGUUCAUUAUGUAUGAAUGUUAGCUGAAUUUCUGGGUUUCUUCAUGGGCCUUGUUCUUUGUGUGAACUUCAGAAUGUUCUUGGACUCAUGUAUUUGCAGAUCUGUCUUGGAACUUGUGCAGGAGAGAGGAAAGUGGGAUUGUCACUUCAUUCCCAUGCUUUAGGGGAUUUCACUGGUCUUUUACUAUACCUGCUCCGAUACGUGUCUAACUCUGAUUGAACGAGACUUGAGUUAGCUUUUUGCUUUUGCUCUUACUUUUGUACCAAUUGUACUGUUCUGUCAGAUAGAGCAUGUGCUGAAAAUGAACCUUCUGAACUUCAGAAUGUUCAUCUAUUUCACUUAGGAUGAUUUGUAAGAUUUCUAUUUGAUGUAAUCAAAUCUUAACAGUAAAACAUCAAUGAAGUGCAGUGUGUAUAACAUCUAGGAUGAUAUUCUUAGAGGAAUAUUCCUAAUGUUUUGUACUUCAAUUGUUCAUAAGUCUUUAAUGAACAAUGAAUAUGCCUUUUGACUUUUAUCAAAAUAGAUGUCUUUAACCCUUGAUUGAUCUAAGUUAUAAUAAUUUUUUGGACUUUUAUUUAUGUCACGUGAGCCUUGAAUGUUCUUUAUAAUGUCCAUAUAUUUCUGGGCUUGAUAUUGAUAACUAUAAGAACAACCUUUUGAACUAUCUUGAACCUUCUGAACUAUGUCCAACCUUUUGAACUCUGUUCAACCUUAUGAACUUUAACUUGGUUCAUAAGUCUUAAUGUUCUUUGAUUGCUUGCUUCUUGGUUUGAUUUAUACUAUGUUUCUGUCUUAGUUAAUCAAUCAAGAACACAUAUUAAAUACCAAUAAACUAAUCAAAGUCCAUUAAUCUUUUAAUCAUCAAAGUUUGUUAUCUUUAAAAUCAAUCAGGGAUGUUUGCCAUAACAAAUUAAUUAGGGAUUUUGCCUCAACUACCUAUUAUAAUCUUUAUUUUUAAGGUUCAUGAGAAUAUUAUAAUGUUACCCAAUCAUCUUUUUAUCUAAAUACCUUUGAAUAAAAUUCACAUAUUUAUAAUCCAAGGAAUGUUAUUCCUAAUAAUAAACUUGGUAAACUUGAAACAAACACACCGUUAGGUCAAUACAGGAGAUCAUAUAUUUGUCAAAUCAGGGUAAUAGCUGCUGUAGUCUCUGAACGUGUAACAGUAACCAAAAUAAUCCUCUCAAUGCUCACAUUAACACUUUUUAUAUAGAGAUUUUGUACGACAGUAAAUACUUAUAAUGAUCGAUAUGAUAAUAACUGAGUACAUUAAGGGAUUGAUAUGAUAAUAUUAGCGAGACAUUUUAACAGAAGAGACCAUUUUGACUAAUAUAGUGCACAAUCAAAAACUAUUUUAAAAUUUUGAUACAUUAUUAUAACUACUCCAUCCGUCCCAUAAUAAGUGAGCCAUUUACAAAAAGAAAUAUUAUUCCAAUUUUUUUUUGAUCCACUUUACUUUUCAAUACUAUAUUAGGGGAUCUUGUUAACGAGUGCCCCCGAAACACUCUUUAAACAUCUUAAAUUUAGUAUUUUUCUUUUAAAAAGUCAAUUAUUAUAAUUUCUAAUACAUUCAGUACACAACUUUUCAUUUAAAAAUUUACCAUUUAAAGUGAUUAAAGAGUGCCCGGAGCACUCGUUAACAUUCCCCAAAAAUAAAACCCACCGAGGAAGUACUUGUUUCACAUACAUAUAGUCAAAUUAUAUUAUAGGAAUCUUAUAGUGUGUUUGGAAGGGGAAAUGUUUUGAGGGAAUGUAAUGUUUUGAGGGAAUUCAACUACUUUGAGGUGAAUUCUAUUGUUUGAAUCCACCUCACAAUAAUUGAAUUCCCUCAAAACAUUACAUUACCUCAAAAUAUUCCUCCAUCCAAACACACUCUUAAGAACCAGAGACACAUAGUAAAUUCAUUCACUUGUGUGGUGCACGCGUGUAGUAACAAGUACAAAGUUCGUGCUGGUUCAUUCUUCUGAUUCAUCAAACCCUAAUUUCACAAUUCAAAGUUCUUGCUGCAUUCUUCUCACACAAGGUGAAUCUAUACUAUUCUCUUAAUUAAGAUUUUAUGAUUCUUGAUUUAGCACAAGCACUUAUUAUGGUAAACACUUAUGUAUAAGUUUACAUAAGAUAUUUUUAUAACAAAAGAUAAAAUGUUUUUGUAUAUGCUAAGGGACAAUGCAUAUUAUAUGCAUGGGCCGGGGUUCCAACCCCGAAAACCCCACUUAUUCACUUUAAGGUGAAUUUCUCUAGCCACUAUGCUACUUGACCAAAUAAAAAAGUUGUUUUCAUAAGCUAUAUUGUAGAACUUAUGAAAUUAAGUUGAAAAAAGCUUAUCAAAAGUGUCAUAAGCUGUUUUCACAAGAAGAUAAACUUAAAUAAGCCAAUUCAAACAUGCGUUAUAACUAUUAUGUAAUUUGUUAUCAAGUUUUAAUUUUUGGUAUGAAAACAUGAAUCAUAGCUAUAGUUUUCUUGAUUAGUAAUGUGAACUUUCUCACUGUUGUAAAACAAAUAGGGAAAAAUUGGUAGAUUUUGAGUAAGAUUUCAUGUUAGAUACCUUGGAGAUAAUUUAUUUGAUUUCCUUUGCACUCACCUCCAAUUAUUGUCAAGUUAUAGGAAAUAUGUCUGCUGAAGGGGAUGUUCAUGUUCGUGUUCCUCAUGAAGUACUUUCGCAUGUCAACCAUGAACCCUAAUCUCAUCUUUGUUUAAACCAAGAUAAUUGCCCUCCCGACACGAAAAACAUUGCUGUUUUGUGGAACAAUUAAUUGGUUGAUAACCGCAAACGAACAUUAAGAAAUGUAAAUAAAACAGCAAGAGAAGUUGCAGAGUUAGAAGAUGAGUUAGCAUCCUCAAAUUAUGUUUGCUCGGUAAUCGUUUUGCUGCAGCAUAAUGUAUUGUUUGGUUUGAUGGUACCUCAAGGAGGCAAAAGAAUGCGUAUGCUUUGGCAAAAAGUGC